Molecule: ribosomal RNA, 518 nt
Filed under: uncultured bacterium
Lineage: Bacteria
Description: partial 16S ribosomal RNA
Rfam family: Bacterial small subunit ribosomal RNA
Source: RNAcentral
ACUCAAAUGAAUUGACGGGGACUCGCACAAGCAGAGGAUCAUGUGGUUUAAUUCGAUGGUAAACGAAGAACCUUACCAGGGUUUGAAACCUAGUUGAAGACAUUAAGAAACUUUUGUCGUCGCAAGACAGCUAGGCAGGUGAUGCAUGGCCGUCGUCAGUUCGUGGUUUGAAUUGUUCCCUUAAGUGGGGUAACGAACGCAACCCUCGUUGUCUGUUAUAUAUGUCAGACGAGACUGCCCCCACAUCAGAAAAUAAAUGAAAAUUUGUUUCUUGAUGUGGGGGAGGAAGGCGAGGAUGACGCCAGGUCAGCAUGUCCCUUUGAUACCCUGGGCUACACACGUGAUACAAUGGCACAUACAACGCGAUGCGACGUAGUAAUACUGAGCUAAUCGUAAGAAAGUGUGCCUAAGUUCGGAUUGAAGUCUGCAACUCGACUUCAUGAAGCUGGAUUUGCUAGUAAUCACAGGUCAGCCAUACUGUGGUGAAUACGUUCUCGAGUCUUGUACACACCGCCCGU